RNAcentral lists this transfer RNA (69 nucleotides) under Thermoproteota archaeon. Its description in RNAcentral is "tRNA-Tyr". It matches the Rfam family "tRNA". Rfam says of the family: Transfer RNA (tRNA) molecules are approximately 80 nucleotides in length. The record is from RNAcentral. Lineage: Archaea; Thermoproteati; Thermoproteota.
GGGGCGUAGCUCAGUGGUAGAGCGGCCGGCUGUAGACCGGCAGGUCCCGGGUUCGAAUCCCGGCGCCCC